GUGUCAGCCGCCGCGGUAAAACCAGCACCUCAAGUGGUCAGGAUGAUUAUUGGGCCUAAAGCAUCCGUAGCCUGUUCUAUAAGUUUCCGGUUAAAUCCAUUAGCUCAACUAAUGGGCUGCCGAAAAUACUGUAGAACUAGGGAGUGGGAGAGGUAGACGGUACUCGGUAGGAAGGGGUAAAAUCCUUUGAUCUAUUGAUGACCACCUGUGGCGAAGGCGGUCUACCAGAACACGUUCGACGGUGAGGGAUGAAAGCUGGGGGAGCAAACCGGAUUAGAUACCCGGGUAGUCCCAGCUGUAAACGAUGCAGACUCGGUGAUGCCCUGGCUUGUGGCCAGUGCAGUGCCGCAGGGAAGCCGUUAAGUUUGCCGCCUGGGAAGUACGUACGCAAGUAUGAAACUUAAAGGAAUUGGCGGGGGAGCACCACAAGGGGUGAAGCCUGCGGUUCAAUUGGAGUCAACGCCAGAAAUCUUACCCGAAGAGACAGCAGAAUGAAGGUCAAGCUGGAGACUUUACCAGACAAGCUGAGAAGUGGUGCAUGGCCGUCGCCAGCUCGUGCCGUGAGAUGUCCUGUUAAGUCAGGUAACGAGCGAGAUCCCUGCCUCUAGUUGCCACCAUUACUCUCAGGAGUAGUGGGGCGAAUUAGCGGGACCGCCGUAGUUAAUACGGAGGAAGGAAGGGGCCACGGCAGGUCAGUAUGCCCUGAAACUUUGGGGCCACACGCGGGCUGCAAUGGUAGUGACAGUGGGUUCCGAAUCCGAAAGGUGGAGGUAAUCCUCAAACACUACCACAGUUAUGAUUGAGGGCUGUAACUCGUCCUCAUGAAUAUGGAAUCCCUAGUAACUGCGUGUCAUUAUCGCGCGGUGAAUACGUCCCUGCU
This 880-nucleotide ribosomal RNA is filed under the name uncultured archaeon. Its description in RNAcentral is "bacterial SSU rRNA". It matches the Rfam family "Archaeal small subunit ribosomal RNA", at positions 455 to 1334 of the family's 1478-position model. The record is from RNAcentral.